This 58-nucleotide transfer RNA is filed under the name Chaetura pelagica (chimney swift). It matches the Rfam family "tRNA", at positions 9 to 63 of the family's 71-position model. Rfam says of the family: Transfer RNA (tRNA) molecules are approximately 80 nucleotides in length. Their secondary structure includes four short double-helical elements and three loops (D, anti-codon, and T loops). The record is from Rfam by way of RNAcentral. Lineage: Eukaryota; Metazoa; Chordata; Aves; Apodiformes; Apodidae.
AGCUCAGUUGGUAGAGCAUGAGACUCUUAAUCUCAGGGUUUGUGGGUUCAAGCCCCAC